CGUCUCAUGGUCUUACGGCCAGGGCUACACACGUACUACAAUGGUAGGGACAGAGGGCUGCAAGCCGGCGACGGUAAGCCAAUCCCAGAAACCCUAUCUCAGUCCGGAUUGGAGUCUGCAACUCGACUCCAUGAAGUCGGAAUCGCUAGUAAUCGCAGAUCAGCAUUGCUGCGGUGAAUACGUUCCCGGGCCUUGUACACACCGCCCGUCACACCAUGGGAGUUUGUUGCACCAGAAGCAGGUAGCUUAACCUUCGGGAGGGCGCUUGCCACGGUGUGGCCGAUGACUGGGGUGAAGUCGUAACAAGGUAGCCGUAUCGGAAGGUGCGGUUGGAUCACCUCCUAA
Molecule: ribosomal RNA, 345 nt
Filed under: uncultured Stenotrophomonas sp.
Lineage: Bacteria; Pseudomonadati; Pseudomonadota; Gammaproteobacteria; Lysobacterales; Lysobacteraceae
Description: bacterial SSU rRNA
Rfam family: Bacterial small subunit ribosomal RNA
Source: RNAcentral